UCUAGAGCUAAUACAUGCCAAUAUGCCCUGACCCGCGAGGGAAUGGGUGGAUUUAUUAGAACAGAACCAACCGGUUGUAGUUUCGGCUGCUUCCGUUGCACUCUGUGAUGACUCUGGAUAACUUUUCUGAUCGCAGUCGGCCUUGUGUCGGCGACGGAUCUUUCAAAUGUCUGCCCUAUCAAUUUUCGAUGGUAGG
This 196-nucleotide ribosomal RNA is filed under the name Lepidapedon gaevskayae. Its description in RNAcentral is "partial 18S ribosomal RNA". It matches the Rfam family "Eukaryotic small subunit ribosomal RNA", at positions 157 to 332 of the family's 1831-position model. Lineage: Eukaryota; Metazoa; Platyhelminthes; Trematoda; Plagiorchiida; Lepocreadiidae. The record is from RNAcentral.